RNAcentral lists this long non-coding RNA (632 nucleotides) under Rattus norvegicus (Norway rat). RNAcentral describes it as "long non-coding RNA NONRATT004527". Lineage: Eukaryota; Metazoa; Chordata; Mammalia; Rodentia; Muridae. The record is from RNAcentral.
GGAUCACCAGCCAAUGCAGAACACUAAGCUCUUGAAAGUAUCCAUUGGUUAUCCUAAGAUUUCAUUAGAGCUUCCAAGAAGAUGUUUACUUUAAGUGACCUACUUCUGCCUGGGUAUUGGCAAAUUUCUUUCUUUAUCCUUGAAGUUCAGUAGCUUCAUCAGAAUGUAUCUCGGUCUUGAUGUGAUUCUCUAUUACAUUUUCCUGUUAAUGAUGUUUUCAGUCCCACUUCUCACUACUGACCUUCCUCGUUCAUCGGUCACUGACUUGGCGCGUCUCUGGGGUUCUGCCCAGAAGAUUUAGCCUUCCUCCUUCGCCUCAGCCCCUCUAACUCAACAAAAAUCCAGUGGAAGGCUUUUCAGCAGGUUUAAUAGACGACAAUGAUCUCUAUCGUUGGGAAGUCCUUAUUAUUGGUCCUCCAGAUACACUUUAGAUUAUGUUCAUGCGAAUGAAGGUGCUGUAGGAGGCCAUAGGUGUUGGAUUCCCUGGAGCUGGAGUAACACCUGAUUAUAAGCCAUUUGAUAUGAAUAUUAAGAACCAAAUUGAAGUCAUUUAGAGGCUUUUAACUGCUGAGCCAUUGCUCCAGCCAAAAAAGAAAAAUAAUCCUAUGGAAUUUAGAGAGAUAUUUCAGCAG